CGAUCAGAGGGGCAACCGCCCCAUUAGUAGGUUUACAGCCCACCACCUGUUCAGCCACCUGACC
This 64-nucleotide transfer RNA is filed under the name Calotes liocephalus. RNAcentral's name for it is "tRNA-Tyr". Lineage: Eukaryota; Metazoa; Chordata; Lepidosauria; Squamata; Agamidae. The record is from RNAcentral.